GAACAACAGGAACGAGAGGAGCAAGACAGAAGAGCAGAUAGAGAAUGGGCAACGAUGGAACGAACACCCUCCGAAAGAAGUCCUCGAAGGUGACGCGUUGGAGGCCUCAGGACACCUAUAAGAAAUACAAGGGCCAAGAAGAAAGCGAGGCAUGUGAAUCAUUUGGUUGCCGCUCAUCUCCACUGGCACUAUUUUUCCUAGGUACAACCUGCAAAAGGAAGUACAAAGAGAGAUGAGAGCCUUAAUGGAAAUAUUCAUAAUUUCUGCCAGCCGGUCGGUGGGUCGGACCAAAGGCCAGACGUCGCUCGUGAUUAAUGAAUAAGGUGCGACUGAGCGGCGAAAA
This is a long non-coding RNA of Tigriopus californicus, 343 nucleotides long. RefSeq lists it as uncharacterized. NCBI's taxonomy places the organism in Eukaryota, Metazoa, Arthropoda, Copepoda, Harpacticoida, Harpacticidae. The record is from RefSeq and is a predicted model, not a curated record. The transcript has 2 exons.